AGAGGAGGCAGGUAGCCUAGUGGUUAGAGGAGCCAGGUAGUCUAGUGGUUAGAGGAGCCAGGUAGUCUAGUGGUUAGAGGAGGCAGGUAGCCUAGUGGUUAGAGGAGGCAGGUAGCCUAGUGGUUAGAGGAGCCAGGUAGUCUAGUGGUUAGAGGAGCCAGGUAGUCUAGUGGUUGGAGGAGGCUGGUAGCCUGGUGGUUAGAGGAGGCAGGUAGCCUAGUGGUUAGAGGAGGCAGGUAGCCUAGUGGUUAGAGGAGACAGGCAGCCUAGUGGUUAGAGUGUAGAGGAGACAGGUAGCCUAGCGGUUAGAGGAGACAGGCAGCCUAGUGGUUAGAGGAGACAGGCAGCCUAGUGGUUAGAGGAGGCAGGCAGCCUAGCGGUUAGAGGAGACAGGCAGCCUAGUGGUUAGAGGAGGCAGGCAGCCUAGCGGUUAGAGGAGGCAGGCAGCCUAGCGGUUAGAGGAGGCAGGCAGCCUAGCGGUUAGAGGAGGCAGGCAGCCUAGCGGUUAGAGGAGGCAGGCAGCCUAGCGGUUAGAGGAGGCAGGCAGCCUAGCGGUUAGAGGAGGCAGGCAGCCUAGCGGUUAGAGGAGGCAGGCAGCCUAGCGGUUAGAGGAGGCAGGCAGCCUAGCGGUUAGAGGAGGCAG
This is a long non-coding RNA of Oncorhynchus tshawytscha (Chinook salmon), 643 nucleotides long. The record is from Ensembl. NCBI's taxonomy places the organism in Eukaryota, Metazoa, Chordata, Actinopteri, Salmoniformes, Salmonidae.